Molecule: ribosomal RNA, 155 nt
Filed under: uncultured bacterium
Lineage: Bacteria
Description: partial 16S ribosomal RNA
Rfam family: Bacterial small subunit ribosomal RNA
Source: RNAcentral
CCUACGGGAGGCAGCAGCAAGGAAUUUUCCGCAAUCGACGCAAGUCGGACGGAGCAACGCCGCGUGCGGGAAGAAGGCCCUCGGGUUGUAAACCGCUUUUGUGAGGGAAGAAGAUCUGACGGUACCUCAAGAAUAAGUCACGGCUAACUACGUGC